Molecule: ribosomal RNA, 497 nt
Filed under: uncultured bacterium
Lineage: Bacteria
Description: partial 16S ribosomal RNA
Rfam family: Bacterial small subunit ribosomal RNA
Source: RNAcentral
GAUGAACGCUGGCGGCGUGCCUAAUACAUGCAAGUCGAGCGAACAGAUAAGGAGCUUGCUCCUUUGACGUUAGCGGCGGACGGGUGAGUAACACGUGGGUAACCUACCUAUAAGACUGGGAUAACUUCGGGAAACCGGAGCUAAUACCGGAUAACAUUAGGAACCGCAUGGUUCUAAAGUGAAAGAUGGUUUUGCUAUCACUUAUAGAUGGACCCGCGCCGUAUUAGCUAGUUGGUAAGGUAACGGCUUACCAAGGCGACGAUACGUAGCCGACCUGAGAGGGUGAUCGGCCACACUGGAACUGAGACACGGUCCAGACUCCUACGGGAGGCAGCAGUAGGGAAUCUUCCGCAAUGGGCGAAAGCCUGACGGAGCAACGCCGCGUGAGUGAUGAAGGGUUUCGGCUCGUAAAACUCUGUUAUUAGGGAAGAACAAAUGUGUAAGUAACUGUGCACGUCUUGACGGUACCUAAUCAGAAAGCCACGGCUAACUACGUG